AGAGUGAACGCUGGCGGCGUGCUUAACACAUGCAAGUCGAACGAGAACGGGUUACAGCUUGCUGUAACUGUCAGCUAAGUGGCGCACGGGUGAGUAAUAUAUAGGUAACAUGCCCCAAAGAAGAGGAUAACGUUUGGAAACGAACGCUAAUACUCUAUAUGCCUUUAAGUCAUAAGACUGCAAGGGAAAUAUUUAUAGCUUUGGGAUUGGCCUGUACAGUAUCAGCUUGUUGGUGAGGUAAUGGCUCACCAAGGCUAUGACGCUUAACUGGUUUGAGAGGAUGAUCAGUCACACUGGAACUGAGACACGGUCCAGACUCCUACGGGAGGCAGCAGUGGGGAAUAUUGCACAAUGGACGAAAGUCUGAUGCAGCAACGCCGCGUGGAGGAUGACACAUUUCGGUGCGUAAACUCCUUUUAUAUAGGAAGAUAAUGACGGUACUAUAUGAAUAAGCACCGGCUAACUCCGUGCCAGCAGCCGCGGUAAUACGGAGGGUGCAAGCGUUACUCGGAAUCACUGGGCGUAAAGAGCGUGUAGGCGGGUUAAUAAGUUGGAAGUGAAAUCCUAUGGCUCAACCAUAGAACUGCUUUCAAAACUGUUGACCUAGAAUAUGGGAGAGGUAGAUGGAAUUUCUGGUGUAGGGGUAAAAUCCGUAGAGAUCAGAAGGAAUACCGAUUGCGAAGGCGAUCUACUGGAACAUUAUUGACGCUGAGACGCGAAAGCGUGGGGAGCAAACAGGAUUAGAUACCCUGGUAGUCCACGCCCUAAACGAUGCACACUAGUUGUUGCCUUGCUCGACAAGGCAGUAAUGCAGUUAACACAUUAAGUGUGCCGCCUGGGGUGUACGGUCGCAAGAUUA
This 859-nucleotide ribosomal RNA is filed under the name uncultured bacterium. RNAcentral describes it as "bacterial SSU rRNA". It matches the Rfam family "Bacterial small subunit ribosomal RNA", at positions 26 to 896 of the family's 1533-position model. The record is from RNAcentral.